AAGUAAAAUCAAAAGAUUCAAACAUUGGAAUAUACACUUGAUCAAAAACACACUAACCCUUUUUUACAAAUCUUUCUUCUUUUCAUCAUCUGACCCUUACCUCUUUGUCCCAGUGUCUCCUACGGUGAAACUUCGGUAUCUGGGUUUUACCUUUUUUCUUUUACCAGAGAUAAAAUUUCACUGCUUUGGAUCCGCCCCAUACCCCUACUUUUUACCCUACCUUCCUUUCACCCUUUAAAUUGCUAGACGAUCCAAGCUCGCCUAAAGAAAGAAACAAGUGAAAGAAGAAACAAAAUUUUCUAACUCUUUGAAAAGUUGGGUCAAUCGCCAGUACAUUCCAACACUUGUUUCUCUCUGGCAGUAUGGAUGAUUAUUACAGAAGGAACCAUGUUCCAGCUUUUGGUAGCUGGGAUUGGAACAAUGACCUUCCUUUUACUCAGUGUUUGAAUCGGCUCGGCAAACCGGAUUCCUUCGUUAUAGCUACGCCGAGGAUCGUGAUUUAUACGUCGCUGGCGAUCUUUAUGAGAACGAUGUCGUCACUCCCGCCGUGAUUGUCGUUCCUCGUAAAAGGACAAAAGUAAGACAGUCGCAUGUUAAAGACGGCAAAAAGCAAGAAUGGGAGGUCAGUGACGUGAAACAACCGGCAUCGGCAGCAAGCCCCAUUCCCGUGUCCAAGCCAACUCCAAAACCCGUUGAUGAAGACCUUUACAAAAUCUCGCCUGACCUACUUUACACUAAAACCAAAAAGAAAAAAAGGUUGAGCUUGUUCUCAUGCUGUUUGGUGCCAAGUUGAUCAUCUUGGAGGAUUACGUAAAUAUAGUUCUUUUGAUCCGUCCCUUCCCCUUGGUGUACUCAAGGGU
This is a long non-coding RNA of Hibiscus syriacus, 860 nucleotides long. RefSeq lists it as uncharacterized. The transcript is spliced from 4 exons. Lineage: Eukaryota; Viridiplantae; Streptophyta; Magnoliopsida; Malvales; Malvaceae. The record is from RefSeq and is a predicted model, not a curated record.